This 301-nucleotide ribosomal RNA is filed under the name uncultured bacterium. RNAcentral's name for it is "partial 16S ribosomal RNA". It matches the Rfam family "Bacterial small subunit ribosomal RNA", at positions 509 to 807 of the family's 1533-position model. The record is from RNAcentral.
CAGUAGCCGCGGGAAUACGGAGGGUGCAAGCGUUAAUCGGAAUUACUGGGCGUAAAGCGUGCGUAGGUGGUGGUUUAAGUCCGUUGUGAAAGCCCUGGGCUCAACCUGGGAAUUGCAGUGGAUACUGGGUCACUAGAGUGUGGUAGAGGAUAGUGGAAUUUCCGGUGUAGCAGUGAAAUGCGUAGAGAUCGGAAGGAACAUCUGUGGCGAAGGCGGCCCCCUGGACAAAGACUGACGCUCAGGUGCGAAAGCGUGGGGAGCAAACAGGAUUAGAUACCCCCGUAGUCCCUGUCUCUUAUAC